UACGUAGGGGGCAAGCGUUGUCCGGAUUUAUUGGGCGUAAAGAGCGUGUAGGCGGCCAGACAGGUCCGUUGUGAAAACUCGAGGCUCAACCUCGAGACGUCGAUGGAAACCGUCGGGCUAGAGUCCGGAAGAGGAGAGUGGAAUUCCUGGUGUAGCGGUGAAAUGCGCAGAUAUCAGGAGGAACACCCGUGGCGAAAGCGGCUCUCUGGGCCUUACCUGACGCUGAGGCGCGAAAGCUAGGGGAGCGAACAGG
Molecule: ribosomal RNA, 253 nt
Filed under: uncultured bacterium
Lineage: Bacteria
Description: partial 16S ribosomal RNA
Rfam family: Bacterial small subunit ribosomal RNA
Source: RNAcentral